GAUCAUGGCUCAGGAUGAACGCUGGCGGCGUGCCUAAUACAUGCAAGUCGAACGAGGUGGAAGGGAGCUUGCUCCUGGAUGCCUAGUGGCGAACGGGUGAGUAACACGUAGGUAACCUGCCCUUAAGCUUGGGAUACCCAGAGGAAACUUUGGCUAAUACCGGAUAACAACAGAGGAGGCAUCUCCUUUGCUUGAAAGGCCCUUCACGGGGUCACUUAAGGAUGGACCUGCGGCGCAUUAGCUAGUUGGUGAGAUAACAGCCCACCAAGGCGAGGAUGCGUAGCCGACCUGAGAGGGUGAUCGGCCACAUUGGAACUGAGACACGGUCCAAACUCCUACGGGAGGCAGCAGUAAGGAGUUUUCGGCAAUGGGGGAAACCCUGACCGAGCAACGCCGCGUGAGUGAAUGACGGCCCUAUGGGUUGUAAAGCUCUGUUGUAAGGGACGAAUGAUUCGCUUAGGAAAUGAAGCGAGUUUGACGGUACCUUACCAGAAAGCCACGGCUAACUACGUGCCAGCAGCGGC
RNAcentral lists this ribosomal RNA (524 nucleotides) under uncultured bacterium. Its description in RNAcentral is "bacterial SSU rRNA". It matches the Rfam family "Bacterial small subunit ribosomal RNA", at positions 15 to 518 of the family's 1533-position model. The record is from RNAcentral.